CCCUGUAGAGUUAGAAAAUGGGUGCGCUCUUGAGUAUAAAUACUUGGAUAGAAGGAUCCUGGAGUAAUCAGUAUCUUCUCUAAACUCACACAAAAAACAUGUAUUCUCUACAGGCUUGUGUAAAUGUUUUCUUCCUUGUACUAGCGUACAUUUGUUGUACUCUUAUGGCCGCAUCUUUCAGGGUCCGGCGGCAGGAUGAGAAGCCCUACUGGUGUGACGAGACUCAGGCCGGGUUCGGGUUCAAUAAUUUCGAGGCAAUUAAGAAAAUAUGCGAAGAAGCUGGGUUCUAGAUCAAUCCAUCAAUUAAUCAUCAAAUCAAUCAUGCAAUCAAACAAUCAAUCAUUCAUAUAGAUAUGCGAGUAAGCUGGAUUCAAGAUCUAUCAAUCAAUCAUUCAAUCAAUCAAUUCAUCAAUCAUUCAUAAAGAUAUGCGAGUAAGCUGGAUUCAACAUCUAACAAUCAAUAAUUCAAUCAAUCAAUUCAUCAAUCAUUCAUAAAGAUAUGUUAAGCUGUAUUCAAAAUCUAUCAAUCAAUCAUUCAAUCAAUCAAUUCAUUAAUCCAUUAAUUAAUCAAUCAAUCAUAAUAUUCAGAUUAUUUACUGCAUAAUCAACUUAAUAAGUGUUAACAGUACAAAAUUGUAUACCACAACAUAAGCACUGUUUUUUCCAAUAAAUUUGUAUGUCUGACAA
This is a long non-coding RNA of Eurytemora carolleeae, 687 nucleotides long. RefSeq lists it as uncharacterized. The record is from RefSeq and is a predicted model, not a curated record. Lineage: Eukaryota; Metazoa; Arthropoda; Copepoda; Calanoida; Temoridae. The transcript is spliced from 3 exons.